This 506-nucleotide long non-coding RNA is filed under the name Manacus vitellinus (golden-collared manakin). Its description in RNAcentral is "lncRNA (ENSMVIG00005019753.1)". Lineage: Eukaryota; Metazoa; Chordata; Aves; Passeriformes; Pipridae. The record is from RNAcentral.
GUACCUGCAGGACCUAAAAAUCCAACUUCAUUUUCUGCUCUUUUCUGUUUUUCUUAUUAAAGACUUACUCUGUCAGGUAAGUUUCUGUCACAAAGGUACUUCUGAUCAUGAAGAAUAAAUGUAUGCAGGUAAAACAGAACCUGACUAUAUGCAAUAAGGUAUUUGAUCAUUUAUCCAUAUCUCUGCAGAAAGUCAGCUCUGUGGUGGACAAGUGACCCCAUGCCUGGUAAUAGCUGUCUCCUCCCUCAAGUUCUUGCUUUAUCGAGGUAUAUACAAUAUCGUGCAGGGAGAAGAAGCUGGUGCAUGACUCUGGUCAUUUCUGGAUAUGCAGCCUUUGGGGUGAUUCUGUCAGUUCACUGGGCAAAACCCUGAGUCUUUGUGUGGGUGCAUUGGAGAGCCAGCUGGCAGUGUUCAGGGUUCACAUCGUCCUGAAAGUAGAUCCUCUGAGAGCCAUGCUGAAAUGCAGGCCUGAUUUCAUCAAGUGGAUGAAGUGGACAUACAGAGGA